UCCGGAGGGCGCAAUCGUUGUUCGGAAUCACUGGGCGUAAAGCGCGUGUAGGCGGCUUGGCAAGUCGGGUGUGAAAUCCCGAGGCUCAACCUCGGAACUGCACUCGAAACUGCCUGGCUCGAGUCCCGGAGAGGGUGGCGGAAUUCCCGGUGUAGGGGUGAAAUCCGUAGAUAUCGGGAGGAACACCAGUGGCGAAGGCGGCCACCUGGACGGUGACUGACGCUGAGACGCGAAAGCGUGGGGAGCUAACAGG
Molecule: ribosomal RNA, 253 nt
Filed under: uncultured bacterium
Lineage: Bacteria
Description: partial 16S ribosomal RNA
Rfam family: Bacterial small subunit ribosomal RNA
Source: RNAcentral